GGAUGUGAGGGCACCUGGCUGCUGUGACAUCUGUCACUUCAUUGAUCGCCAGGGUUGACUCAGCUGAUCUGGCUGGCUCGGCAGCUGUCCCCGUCCUCACCAUUCCCUGUUUGAUGCUCCAGAAACUGUGCCUUCAGUUAAAGAGACUGACCUUCCCUAAAUAUAAGAGGAUAUGGGGUUCAGGCAAGGGUCUACAACAGCUGUGUGCUCGGCCAAAACUUCCAGAUUAGCUCUUGAAGUAAGAGUCCUUUGAUCCACUUAGAUUUGACCUUGGUACAAGGAGAUAGGUAUGGAUCGAUUCGAAUUCUU
RNAcentral lists this small nuclear RNA (309 nucleotides) under Mus spretus (western wild mouse). Its description in RNAcentral is "predicted gene, 56005 (ENSMSPG00010023942.1)". The stretch from base 1 to 275 matches the Rfam family "7SK RNA". Rfam says of the family: 7SK was discovered as an abundant small nuclear RNA in the mid-70s but a possible function has only recently been suggested. Two independent studies have found that 7SK RNA binds the CDK9/cyclin T complex (known as elongation factor P-TEFb). Lineage: Eukaryota; Metazoa; Chordata; Mammalia; Rodentia; Muridae. The record is from RNAcentral.